This 67-nucleotide ribosomal RNA is filed under the name Yersinia pestis. RNAcentral's name for it is "partial 16S ribosomal RNA". It matches the Rfam family "Bacterial small subunit ribosomal RNA", at positions 1470 to 1533 of the family's 1533-position model. Lineage: Bacteria; Pseudomonadati; Pseudomonadota; Gammaproteobacteria; Enterobacterales; Yersiniaceae. The record is from RNAcentral. RNAcentral also lists the same sequence under 1 other name.
CAUGACUGGGGUGAAGUCGUAACAAGGUAACCGUAGGGGAACCUGCGGUUGGAUCACCUCCUUACCU